RNAcentral lists this long non-coding RNA (1623 nucleotides) under Zea mays. RNAcentral describes it as "long non-coding RNA (ZMAY_LNC005326)". The record is from RNAcentral. Lineage: Eukaryota; Viridiplantae; Streptophyta; Magnoliopsida; Poales; Poaceae.
GUUUCUGAAGGAACAAGAAAGCAGUGUCGCCACCACCGCGAGAAAGCAGGCAUCGCCUUCACAGCCGACAAAAGCUACGGUGGAUACGGUCGGCCCUCCACUGCCUCCCUUGCCGCGCUGUCUUCUUCAUCUCAUCGCUUCCCAUAGGUACAAACAACCCUCUUUCAUCGCGCUUACUCAGAUCAGAUCUUGUCUAUUAGGGUUAGUUAGCUGCCUUCUUCAUGCACCACUUCGUCGUUGCGGCUAGAUUGUCCAGUCGUCUCAGUCAGCUUCUCUAACAUUGCUUUCCUCUUGGAUUUAAUUUAUCCUACUUAGCACAAACCGAUCAGAGAGCAAACUGCCAUUUGGUAACAGUUAGAUAUGGCCAAUUCUGAUUUGGUAUGAAGUCCCGUGUAGCCACACUUAUAAAUUCCUCAGGUGUAUUUUGCAUCUCCAUUAUUUUUUGACUGAUAUGAAGACCUUUUCGUUUUCUUACAUUCGGUUCAGUAGUAAAAUGCAAUUCCAAACUGCACUACAGCAGAGUCUGCGAAGUACAGACAUACACUUUAAAAAAUAUCAAUCAGCCUCAUGAAUAUAUCUAAGGUUGAAAUAUAAUCGACACUAAGAGUAUGCGACAUGCAAAUUACACAUGUAAGUAUUCUUUUAGGAAGACUGAAUUCUGUUGCUGCAUAUGGCUAUUAACAGUUAUGAAAUACAGACUAUAGAAACUGAAUGUCAGUAAUGAAAUGUAGACUGUAUAGAAACUGUCUAGGAGUACUAAAACUUAAUGAAAACGGAACUCAAAUGUUUGAGAACACAAAUUGCAACUUCGGAUGAAAAUAAAAGGUUGCAUAUCAUCAUAAUAUAAAAUUAUUAAUAAAUCAAUGGAUAGAGAUGUACGAGGCAUGAUACCAUGAGUAAGUUUCCUGCAUAAGCAACUACUUUACGACAUACUUUUGAUCUAUCCUUGAGACAAUUGCAAUUUGCAUGUGACCCUUCACCAGAAUCUUUUAAAACAAUCUCCUUCACACUCUAGAACACAGGAAAACAAUAGCUUGAUGAUACAGACCUCAAAGUAACCAAAUUAAUUUCCAAUGCUCAAAGAGAUGUACUUGAUUUAAAUACGAACAGAAUGUAAGAAAUUUUAUUUCUUAAUAAGUUUGCAGAUGCAGAGAAUGGGCUGCACCAAAUUUAACUAAUGUUUAUUUUACAUGCUCUAUAUAAUUAUAUAUAUGUCUAGCUGUUCAGCUCUUGGAAACAAUAUGUGUAAAUAUAGCAACCUAACUCUAGAUAUUGUAACAAAAAUAUUAAUUUCCAUACUUGUCACCAUAUGUGCGUUUAUCAUCUUUUUAUUACAAAUGCACGAUGCUCCUUCUUGACCACUUGUAUGAAACAAUGAACUAAUAUUUGUUAGUAGAGAUUAUUUUUAUUAAUCUAAGAUGCCAUUUUUUUAACCUAACCUAUUUAGCCUUUGAUUUUUUUCUUCUAAAUAAUGCAUGGUUUUGUUGGUAUUGCAGUUGUGCCAGUUGGAGACCCUUCUGUUGCUGAAGGAGACCUACAUAAACUAUAGUUAGCCGCUAAGUUAAACAAGCCACGCGCUAGAUCAGAACCUAGCAGGCUUAAGGAUCAGUAAAAUGAUAUCUG